CGUCUAUAUACGUAUAGCAUAUCAAUAAGCGGAGGAAAAGAAACUAACUAGGAUUCCCUCAGUAACGGCGAGUGAAGCGGGAAGAGCUCAAAUUUGAAAUCUUCAAGGUUCUACCUUGACGAAUUGUAGUUUAAAGAAGUGUUUUCUGUUGGAGUUUUGGUAAAAGUUCUUUGGAAUAGGACAUCAUAGAGGGUGAGAAUCCCGUAUUUGACCAUUAUUUCCAACUUUGUGAUACACUUUCAAAGAGUCGGAUUGUUUGGGAAUGCAGUCCAAAAUGGGUGGUAAAUUUCAUCUAAAGCUAAAUACUGGCGAGAGACCGAUAGCGAACAAGUACCGUGAGGGAAAGAUGAAAAGAACUUUGAAAAGAGAGUUAAACAGUACGUGAAAUUGUCAAAAGGGAAGCGUUUGACACCAGUGUUGUUUUCUCGAAAAUCAAUUAAAAAUGGCGGGAUUUUGUGUUGUAUUGACUUUAUCAGCUUUCUGCACUUUUUUCUUAUCUUUUUUAAUGCACUUUUCGUUUAACAAGUCAACAUCAAUUUCUUUUGCUGUAAAAGGGUCAUUGGAAGGUGGCUUUCUUUUCGGAGAAAGUGUUUAUAGCCUUUGACUUCUGCAAUCGGAGAGAUUGAGGUCUGCAGCGUAGAUCCUUCGGGGUUAGAUACAUUUGUGCUAAGUUAUAGCCUUUCAUAGACAACUUGUUGACUAUGAUCAGUCAUGUAGCUUACUCGCUUAUGCUAUUUUACCUACGCUUAGGAUGUUGACGAUCAGCUGAGCGCG
This 774-nucleotide ribosomal RNA is filed under the name uncultured Neocallimastigales. RNAcentral describes it as "partial large subunit ribosomal RNA". It matches the Rfam family "Eukaryotic large subunit ribosomal RNA", at positions 26 to 627 of the family's 3401-position model. The record is from RNAcentral. Lineage: Eukaryota; Fungi; Neocallimastigomycota; Neocallimastigomycetes; Neocallimastigales.